UUAUUUUAUGUUUUUCUCACAGAAAGACUUGUCAUCCUUUGUAGAGAUUGAUCUGAGAGACACAGUGGAAGAGAAAACUGAAGAUGUCAUGACAGAAGGCAAGGAGCACGAAAAGCAAGAAGAAUCUCCUGAUACUGUGCCUGAGAGCAGCUGGAUGUGCUGUUUUCCUUUCUGGAUGAUGCUGAAGAAACAAAAGGAAAAACAGGAGUAGGCAUGAAAUGGACUCCCCAGUUUUGGGGGAAGAUGAGGCUCAAUAUGGAAAGGAGAUCCCUUUGAAAUGUUCAUUUAAUAAAUUCAAACGCAGAA
Molecule: long non-coding RNA, 306 nt
Organism: Anolis carolinensis (green anole)
Lineage: Eukaryota; Metazoa; Chordata; Lepidosauria; Squamata; Anolidae
Exons: 4
Source: RefSeq, a predicted model, not a curated record